This 613-nucleotide ribosomal RNA is filed under the name Clonostachys candelabrum. RNAcentral describes it as "partial large subunit ribosomal RNA". It matches the Rfam family "Eukaryotic large subunit ribosomal RNA", at positions 87 to 730 of the family's 3401-position model. Lineage: Eukaryota; Fungi; Ascomycota; Sordariomycetes; Hypocreales; Bionectriaceae. The record is from RNAcentral.
CGGCGAGUGAAGCGGCAACAGCUCAAAUUUGAAAUCUGGCGCAAGCCCGAGUUGUAAUUUGUAGAGGAUGUUUCUGGCGACGUACCUUCCGAGUUCCCUGGAACGGGACGCCAUAGAGGGUGAGAGCCCCGUACGGUUGGUUGCCUAGCCUCUGUGAAACUCCUUCGACGAGUCGAGUAGUUUGGGAAUGCUGCUCUAAAUGGGAGGUAUACGUCUUCUAAAGCUAAAUACCGGCCAGAGACCGAUAGCGCACAAGUAGAGUGAUCGAAAGAUGAAAAGCACUUUGAAAAGAGGGUUAAAUAGUACGUGAAAUUGUUGAAAGGGAAGCGUUUAUGACCAGACUUGGGCAGGUUGAUCAUCCGUGGUUCUCCGCGGUGCACUCUGCCUGCCCAGGCCAGCAUCAGUUCAGUUCGGGGGAUAAAGGCUUCGGGAAUGUAGCUCCCUCGGGAGUGUUAUAGACCGUUGCGUAAUACCCUGAUCUGGACUGAGGUUCGCGCUCUGCAAGGAUGCUGGCGUAAUGGUCAUCAGCGACCCGUCUUGAAACACGGACCAAGGAGUCGUCUUCGUAUGCGAGUGUUCGGGUGUCAAACCCCUACGCGUAAUGAAAGUGAAC